RNAcentral lists this ribosomal RNA (2589 nucleotides) under Minisyncoccota bacterium. RNAcentral describes it as "partial 23S ribosomal RNA". It matches the Rfam family "Bacterial large subunit ribosomal RNA", at positions 1 to 2240 of the family's 2925-position model. The record is from RNAcentral. Lineage: Bacteria; Bacillati; Minisyncoccota.
UAACAGGAAAUUUAAGGGCGUACGGUGGAUGCCUAGACUAAAAAUAGCGAUGAAGGACGUGGCGUAGCUGCGAUAAGCUUCGGGGAGGUGUGUAGCAACCUUUGAUCCGGAGAUUUCCGAAUGGGGAAACCCUAUCUCGUAAACCGAGAUAAUUUUUUACGUAAGUAAAAGAAGCGUACCCUGGGAAGUGAAACAUCUCAGUACCAGGAGGAAAAGAAAAAAACAUUUAUUUUCUUAGUAGCGGCGAGCGAAAAGGAAAGAGCCCAAACCGAGGUAGCAAUACUUCGGGGUUGUAAGAUGACAAUUUAGAUUUAUCUAGGAGAGUCAAAAAAUAAAAUAUUAGCUUAAGUUGCUGGAAAGCGACACCAAAGAAGGUGAUAGUCCCGUGAGCGAAAAUAUUUUAUCUCUUUUAUUGUUAUUCUUGAGUACCCCAGGACAUGAAUGGCCGGGGGGAAUCUGCCAGAACUAACUGGCAAGGCUAAAUAUAUUUUUAGAUCGAUAGUGAACUAGUACCGUGAGGGAAAGGUGAAAAGCAGUCCGAUUAGGACAGUGAAAUAGACCUGAAACCGUAUGUCUACAAGGAGUUGGAGCAGGUAUUUAUAUCUGCGACAGCGUGCCUAUUGAAGAAUGAGCCAACGAGUUUAUGCAUACUGCUCGGCAAAGUUCUCUAAAAGAACAGAGCCACAGGGAAACCGAGUGUUAAUAGCGCGUAAUUGGUAGAAUGCAUAAGACCCGAAGCGAGGUGAGCUUGCCAUGAGCAGGAUGAAGUAGAGCGAAAGCUUUAUGGAGGUCCGAACGGGUAGAUCGUACGACGUCUUCCGAUGACUUGUGGUAAGGAGUGAAAAGCUAAUCGAACCUCGUAAUAGCUGGUUCUCUCCGAAAUAGCUUUAGGGCUAGCGUCGUGUGUUUCUUUUGGGGGUAGAGCACUGGAAAGUCUCGACAGGUCGCAAGAUCGCGAGACUUAUCAAACUCCGAAUACCAGAAGUAAGAGCGCGGCAGUUAGGCUAUGGGGGCGAAGCUCCAUUGGCCAAAAGGGAAACAGCCCGGAUCUCAAUAUAAGGUCCCUAAAUUCAUGCUAAGUGUAAGACAAGAAGGUGAUAUUUCUUUAACAAUGAGGAGGUUGGCUUAGAAGCAGCCAUCCUUUAAAGAUAGCGUAACAGCUCACUCAUCUAGAGAUUUCGCGUCGAAAAUAAUUGGGGCUAAGCAUGGUACCGAAUGUGAGGAUUUUAAACGUCUUAGGACGCCUAAAGUGGUAGGAGAGUGUUCCAAUCUGCUGUGAAGUAGGACUUGUGAGAGCCUAUGGAGCGUUUGGAAGUAAGAAUGUUGGCACAAGUAACCGCAAUGAUGCUGAGAACGCAUCACGUCGAAAGAUCAAGGUUUCCUUGGUAAUGUCAAUCAGCCAAGGGUUAGUCGGGCCUAAGGGAAUGGUGAAAACCGUACUCGAUGGACACAUGGUUAAUAUUCCAUGACAUCUGUAUUUAGUGAUGGGAGGACGAAGUGUAGUAUGUAUUGCUCAUUAUGGAUUUGAAGUUUGUUUAUUAGGGAUGAUGUGUAGGAAAAUCCGCACGCUACUUUUAAUGGUAAAUCCGAGGUAAAUGAAAAAUUUAGUCAUACGUGACUAGAUAAUGAUACAAAGCACGCUUCCAAGAAAAAUCUCUAAACUUAUAAAUAUAGAUUCCGUACCGCAAACCGACACAGGUGAUCAGGUCGAGUAGACCAAGACGAACGAGUGAGUGGUCCCCAAGGAACUCGGCAAAAAAGCAGCCGUAACUUCGGGAUAAGGCUUCCCCGCAUCACAUUGCAUGUGAUGUAGCUUAUAGGUUUUAGCUAAUUAGCUAGUUAGGAAUUUCCUAAGAAGCUAGCAAGCUAGAUAGCUAAGAAGCUUCAUCGCGCGUAGCGUGAUGCGGGGCGCAGCGAAAGUAUCCCUGGCAACUGUUUACCAAAAACACAGCUCCCUGCGAACUCGUAAGAGGAUGUAUAGGGGGUGACACCUGACCAAUGCCAGAAGGUCAAAUAUCGACGGUGGUAGUAGCAAUAUUAUUGCAGAUUGAUAUAAGCCCUGGUGAAUGUCGGCCGUAACUAUAACGGUCCUAAGGUUCUGCACACAACUUCGGUUGCGCGUGGAAUGACUGGGACCGGAAUAGAAAAAAGUAAACAAUUAAAUUAAAAAAUUAUUAGACUAUUCGAAUGCUACCUUCUGUUCAGUAAUGAACAGGAAGUCAAAACUUGACUAACGAGAGACCAGCGUCAAGCAUCCUACUAUUUAUUUAGGGAUGAAGAUAGAGUCCUUCUUAGGUAUAGAAGAGCGAAAUACCUUGUCGGGUAAGUUCCGACGCGCACGAAUGGUGUAAUGACUGGGGAACUGUCUCGGGGACCAGCUCGGUGAAAAUACAAUACCGGUGAAGAUGCCGGUUAAGUGCAGUUAGACGAAAAGACCCUAGAAGCUUUACUAUAACUUGAUAUUGAGUAUGUUUUUUUACUGCGUAGGAUAGUGGUGAGAGGUCUGAUGUAUACGGUUUCGGCUGUAUUCUACUCGACAGUGAAAUAGCCAUCUGUACGAAGGCAUAUUCUAACCAAUACGGCAAAAAC